GCCGAGGUCACAUAACCAGGUAGUGUACCAGUCUCGAAAACUGGCGGGCGUAAGCCCAUGAGGGUUCAAAUCCCUCCCUCGGCG
This 84-nucleotide transfer RNA is filed under the name Candidatus Aenigmatarchaeota archaeon. RNAcentral's name for it is "tRNA-Ser". It matches the Rfam family "tRNA". Rfam says of the family: Transfer RNA (tRNA) molecules are approximately 80 nucleotides in length. Their secondary structure includes four short double-helical elements and three loops (D, anti-codon, and T loops). Further hydrogen bonds mediate the characteristic L-shaped molecular structure. tRNAs have two regions of fundamental functional importance: the anti-codon, which is responsible for specific mRNA codon recognition, and the 3' end, to which the tRNAs corresponding amino acid is attached (by aminoacyl-tRNA synthetases). tRNAs cope with the degeneracy of the genetic code in two manners: having more than one tRNA (with a specific anti-codon) for a particular amino acid; and 'wobble' base-pairing, i.e. permitting non-standard base-pairing at the 3rd anti-codon position. Lineage: Archaea; Nanobdellati; Candidatus Aenigmatarchaeota. The record is from RNAcentral.